AGUGAACGCUGGCGGUAGGCCUAACACAUGCAAGUCGAACGGCAGCACAGUAAGAGCUUGCUCUUACGGGUGGCGAGUGGCGGACGGGUGAGGUAUACAUCGGAAUCUACUUUUUCGUGGGGGAUAACGUAGGGAAACUUACGCUAAUACCGCAUACGACCUACGGGUGAAAGCAGGGGAUCUUCGGACCUUGCGCGAUUGAAUGAGCCGAUGUCGGAUUAGCUAGUUGGCGGGGUAAAGGCCCACCAAGGCGACGAUCCGUAGCUGGUCUGAGAGGAUGAUCAGCCACACUGGAACUGAGACACGGUCCAGACUCCUACGGGAGGCAGCAGUGGGGAAUAUUGGACAAUGGGCGCAAGCCUGAUCCAGCCAUACCGCGUGGGUGAAGAAGGCCUUCGGGUUGUAAAGCCCUUUUGUUGGGAAAGAAAAGCAGCAGGUUAAUACCCCGCUGUUCUGACGGUACCCAAAGAAUAAGCACCGGCUAACUUCGU
This 491-nucleotide ribosomal RNA is filed under the name uncultured bacterium. RNAcentral describes it as "partial 16S ribosomal RNA". It matches the Rfam family "Bacterial small subunit ribosomal RNA", at positions 29 to 506 of the family's 1533-position model. The record is from RNAcentral.